CUCAUACUCUCACACACUCUCAUGUCUCACACAUUCUCUCAUACUCUCUGAAACACUCUCUCGUACGGUCUCACACUCUCUCAUACUGUCUCACACACUCAUGUCUCACACGUUGUC
Gasterosteus aculeatus (three-spined stickleback) is the source of this 117-nucleotide long non-coding RNA. The record is from Ensembl. Lineage: Eukaryota; Metazoa; Chordata; Actinopteri; Perciformes; Gasterosteidae.